AUUGAACGCUGGCGGCAGGCUUAACACAUGCAAGUCGAGCGGGGAAGGGUAGCUUGCUACCUAACCCAGCGGAGGACGGGUGAGUAAUGCUUAGGAAUCUGCCAUUUAGUGGGGGACAACAUUCCGAAAGGAAUGCUAAUACCGCAUACGUCCUACGGGAGAAAGCAGGGGAUCUUCGGACCUUGCGCUAAAUGAUGAGCCUAAGUCGGAUUAGAUAGUGGGUGGGGUAAAGGCCUACCAAGGCAACGAUCUGUAGCGGGUCGGAGAGGAUGAUCCGCCACACUGGGACUGAGACACGGCCCAGACUCCUACGGGAGGCAGCAGUGGGGAGUAUUGGACAAUGGGCGGAAGCCUGAUCCAGCCAUGCCGCGUGUGUGAAGAAGGCCUUAUUGUUGUAAAGCACUUUAAGCGAGGAGGAGGCUACUUAGAUUAAUACUCUAGGAUAGUGGACGUUACUCGCAGAAUAAGCACCGGCUAACUCUGUGCCAGCCGCCGCCGUAA
This 501-nucleotide ribosomal RNA is filed under the name uncultured bacterium. RNAcentral's name for it is "partial 16S ribosomal RNA". It matches the Rfam family "Bacterial small subunit ribosomal RNA", at positions 30 to 523 of the family's 1533-position model. The record is from RNAcentral.